AUACGGAGGGGGCUAGCGGUGUUCGGAAUUACUGGGCGUAAAGCGUACGUAGGCGGACUGAUCAGUUGGGGGUGAAAUCCCAGGGCUUAACCCUGGAACUGCCUUCAAUACUGUCAGUCUUGAGAUUGGAAGAGGUGAGUGGAAUUCCUAGUGUAGAGGUGAAAGUCAUAGAUAUUAGGAGGAACACCAGUGGCGAAGGCGGCUCACUGGUCCAAUACUGACGCUGAGGUACGAAAGCGUGGGGAGCAAACAGGAUUAGAAACCCCAGUAGUCC
This 274-nucleotide ribosomal RNA is filed under the name uncultured bacterium. Its description in RNAcentral is "partial 16S ribosomal RNA". It matches the Rfam family "Bacterial small subunit ribosomal RNA", at positions 523 to 796 of the family's 1533-position model. The record is from RNAcentral.